Long non-coding RNA from Gorilla gorilla gorilla (western lowland gorilla), 3731 nucleotides. RefSeq lists it as uncharacterized. The transcript is spliced from 4 exons. The record is from RefSeq and is a predicted model, not a curated record. NCBI's taxonomy places the organism in Eukaryota, Metazoa, Chordata, Mammalia, Primates, Hominidae.
CACUAAGAGGCAAAAUGGCGGACUUUAACUGUUGACAUGACCUCCUUGGAACAUUCAGUCUGGUAAGGGAAAAGAAUUAAACAUCAAAUCUUCCCUCAGGGACUCCAGAUAAGAGCCCAGGCCAAAGGGCACCUUGAUUUUGACCUUGUCAGACCUGGAGUUGAAAAACCAGCUGCACCCUUCUAGAAUUCUUACUUACAAAACUGGAGAUGUUACAAGACAAGAUGAUUUCACUGGGAGCUGAGUUUUGCCAGAUUUGGGGAAAUACUGAUGCAGAACAUCAUUUAUUUAAGGCUGAUACUCAUGGAUAGAAGAGUCAAAGUGCGAAUAUAUGCACCCUUCUAUAUGGAUUCUGCAGAAAGAUAUGCUUGGGUCAUGACUCCGGUGAAUUUCCUAUGAAACUUUGUCUUUGGUAAAGCAUCCCAUCCUUGGCUGUUCCAUAUAUAUAUAUGGGUGUAUUUCUUCCUCUGAAAGUGUACCUUCCCUGGAGCUUCAGCCUAAUGCCUGAGGUCCUCAGUGAGGUCCCUCCAUUCUUCCUAUCUAAGCUGAAACUUCAACAUCUUCAGGAGUGUGUGACACCUGGUAUGUCUGCUCAGUUCUGAGCUCUGUAGUGACUCCACUGUUGUGUUUUGGAAAACUUGUCAUGUGCACAUGAAUAAUUUAAUCUUAGAUUAUUAAAUUAUUGACUUUAAUACCUCAUGUUUAACUAAGAUAAUUAACAUCAGAAUAUCAUCUAAGAUUUGUCUUCUUAAAAAUCAAGUUUUACCAGAAUCUUAAUAUGAAUUAUAAAAUUAAUGAUUUUAUUGGGACAGUUUUAGAGAUCUGAUACUUAUUUGUAAUUUGCAAAUAUUCUAAGAUGUUGGUCAUUAGAGAACAUAUAUGAAUACGUGCAUGUGGUAGUUAGGAGAGUGGAAAUGAAUACAAACUAUUAAUGGGUUGUUGCAGAAUAUUCUGACCUUACUGAAUAAACACACAAUACAUAUGCGCACACAUUCAUAGAAUCAGAAAGUCAUGAAAAGGCUGAAUGUAAAACAAAGAGCAUGAGAGACCCAUGUUCUUAAAUUCUAUUAGUACUAAAACUUCCAGUUAACAUUGUAGAAACAUAUAUAUUAGAGAAUUAUGAAUAAACACAGUCCUUGACGUAUGCACAAUCUGAGUUGAUCAAAGGACACUGGCAGAAACAUUAAAAAACUAACUUUGUAAGAUAUUUCACUGCAAUUUUAUAAAUUUCUUCAGUAUAGUAGUUUUGUUUUCCUACUCAUUACAGGAUCUGGGGCCAUCUGUUUUUAAAAUAAUACCUUGCACAUAAUGGGAGAUCUUUACAUAAAGUUUGAAUAAAUUAAGGAAGAAUUAAUUAGCAAGUCCAUUCCUGCUAUAUGUCAUUUAAGCAAUUUUUUAUUCAUCAAAACAUACUACUUCAAGCUAAUAUUAAAUGGUUUAUAUUCAUGAAACCAUGGGCUAUUACUUAAUUCCUAAAAUUUAACUGCAAAAAAUCAUUGAUUUAUACACUAUACAAGGUAAUAUUCUGGUUCAUUCUCUGGAACAAAUUGCAACUUAAUUGAAAAUAGUAUGAAAGCUAAUAAGUAUAAUUCAAGUGAAAAGCCUUAAAUUCCGUAAGAAUUAAAAACCUUUGGUAAUUAAUAUACCAAACUUUUGGUAUUUGAAAGUGAAAAGAUGUAUUCCUUUAAGAAAAAUAAUAAAGUUGUCAAGAUGAGGAAGAAUUAAACGUACAUAAUAUUGGGCCCUAAUAGAUGAGUGAUGAUAACAGAAAGUAACGUCAGACAAGACAACAGAACAGUAUGGGGUGUUUUCAGGGAGUAUUAUCUAAUCAACCUGGCGUUCUAAUGAUAGUGACUAUGAUUUAGCAACCUUACUUUGCCCUAAUGUGAGUGGCUUAUUAGAAGAGGCUCAGGUCAGAAGGGGGAUACUAGUUGAGCAAGCUGCUGCUAGAAGUAAUGAGGCAAGAAACAGGAUUUUAACAACAUUAGAGAUCUCGUUAAUUCAAACUAAUGGAAAAAAUUGCAGUAACAUAAAAUGUAAAUCUCUCCAACUUUUAAAUUUAUAAUUGGCAGAGAAGGAGAAGCUAUUGAAGAUCUUGAUGCUUUGAAACUGUAUGAGAGGUGUUGUUAUCAAAAGAACUAGCUAGGAGAAAAAAGAAAAUAUACGUUGAUGGUAGCUGUUGGAUUUAAUUCUGGUUUGAAAUAUUUAGGCAUGAAUCUGAUCCUGGAUUUCAAAUGGACCUUUACUGAAAAUGUCAAGUGAUAUUAAGAUGCAUAAGAUUGAACACUACAGCAUCUUCUUUCAAUAAUUUGAUUUACUCACCCUUAUUUAAAGAAUUGAAUCUUUCUGUUCUCAAGCCUCCUUUUCGCCAAUUAAUUUGAUUCAGGACAAAAAGUGGUGUUUGAUAUUUUUAACUUUAAAAUAAGUCAAUUUUCCUGCAUGCUUAAAUAUUCUGUUAUCUUGAAUUCUAAUGAAGGACUUAUAACUACGUAUUUAAUAUUUGGUAAAUUUAUACAGAUGUAACAUAUUAUUGAAAUAAGAUUGUAUAAACUAAACAAGAAAAUAGACUGAAAAUAUUGUCUCAAAAAGAACAAUUCUUGCUAUGCUUUUCUUGUAUUUAUAUUUUAUUCAUGUAAGCUGUUUUCUAUCCUGGAAAUAUCAUCCUCCUACUCUCCACCUUCUUUUCACCCUUCACUCUUGUCUUUCAAUGCUUAGCUAAAAUUAAACUCCUCAAACAGGCUUUCAAAGCUCAGUGUAGAAUCAUCUGUUAUUUCCUGCUUCCUCAGUAUUAACUUUUUAUAUAUUAUAUGUCUUGUUAUAUGUAUAAAUGUGUAUUUCCUAAAUCACCAGUACACUGUAAACUCUAUGAAGUUAGAAAUGUAAAAUCAACACCUAAUUUGGUACUUAUUCAUAAUGAGAAUUUAACAUUUUUUGCAUUGAUAAAUGAAUAUAGGUUAGCAAACCAGUAAAAUACACAUUUCACACGCUGGCAAGUGAUUUAUUGAUCACAUACCAAUUCUAAUACUGGAGCAUCUUAUUUCAAAGAAUAUGAAGCAUUUGUGGUAAAUAUUCACAAAUUUGUUAGUAUAUUUUAAUUCUUAUUUUAUAGCUCAGUUUUAUUUUUGAUAAAUAUACAAAACUAUCAAAAUCUGAAUACUCCAUUUGCAAGCUGCUCUUAUCUAAUAAUCUUACCUUCAUUUCCUUUUUACAUCUUCUACCUUAACCAUUAAUUUUGCUAUUUUAAAUUGGCAAAGCCAUAUUUUGCAUCAUUCUAGUUUGUGCCUAUCAUAUGGAAAAGCAGAAGUGUUAUCUGUGACUGUUUGUAUUUUAUAAUUAAUUUGAACUGUUUGAAGUGUGAUUUGUUCAUGGAGUCAUUGGAGAGGCAUAAUAUUAUUAAAAGCCAGAUGUUGGCACAUUUUGCAUGCUUAACAGGCACAAAACCAUUUCCUAAUGGAAACAUUUUAAAAAUGGUUUUGGUUCCCCUGUACGGAUUAUCAAUUCAAGUAAUCUCACUUACUUUUCUUUACUUACUUUACAUGGGGCAAGUAUAUUGAUAUCUGAAACUGCAUUUGAAAAAUUUGGGAAAACAUUGAUCUUUCUGGCAAAUAGACUUUACUAAUUAAACAUACCUUCAAUAUCUUAAUGGGAAAUUGAAACAUAUCUCAAUUUUACUGCUUGAAAACCAGCAAUGCCAAGUUAUAUUUCUCAAUAAAUAAAAUUAUCUCUUAUUU